This 458-nucleotide ribosomal RNA is filed under the name uncultured bacterium. Its description in RNAcentral is "bacterial SSU rRNA". It matches the Rfam family "Bacterial small subunit ribosomal RNA", at positions 339 to 794 of the family's 1533-position model. The record is from RNAcentral.
CUACGGGAGGCAGCAGUAAGGAAUAUUGGUCAAUGGAGGCAACUCUGAACCAGCCAUGCCGCGUGCAGGAUGACGGCCCUAUGGGUUGUAAACUGCUUUUAUACAAGAGAAAACCCUGGUACGUGUACCAGGUUGAUAGUAUUGUAAGAAUAAGCAUCGGCUAACUUCGUGCCAGCAGCCGCGGUAAGACGAAGGAUGCAAGCGUUAUCCGGAUUCAUUGGGUUUAAAGGGUGCGUAGGCGGACUGAUAAGUCAGUGGUGAAAUCUCUUUGCUUAACAAAGAAACUGCCAUUGAUACUGUCGGUCUAGAGUAUAGAUGACGUUGGCGGAAUAUGACAUGUAGUGGUGAAAUACUUAGAUAUGUCAUAGAACACCGAUUGCGAAGGCAGCUAACGAAACUAUAACUGACGCUGAGGCACGAAAGUGCGGGGAUCAAACAGGAUUAGAUACCCUGGUAGG